Molecule: ribosomal RNA, 329 nt
Filed under: uncultured eukaryote
Lineage: Eukaryota
Description: partial 18S ribosomal RNA
Rfam family: Eukaryotic small subunit ribosomal RNA
Source: RNAcentral
CCCUUAGAUGUUCUGGGCCGCACGCGCGCUACAAUGAUGGAUUCAACGAGUUUAUAACCUUGGUUGAAAAGCCUGGGUAAUCUUUUGAACUUUCGUCGUGAUGGGGCUAGACCCUUGCAAUUAUUGGUCUCCAACGAGGAAUUCCUAGUAAACGCAAGUCAUCAGCUUGCAUUGAUUACGUCCCUGCCCUUUGUACACACCGCCCGUCGCACCUACCGAUUGAAUGGUCCGGUGAAAUCUUCGGAUUGAGACUUUGUUUUCUUCACGGAAAACGCUGUUUUAAAAAGUUGAUUAAACCUUACCAUUUAGAGGAAGGUGAAGUCGUAACA